GACGAACGCUGGCGGCGUGCUUAACACAUGCAAGUCGAACGAUGAACCCGGAGCUUGCUCCGGUGGAUUAGUGGCGAACGGGUGAGUAACACGUGAGUAACCUGCCCUUGACUCUGGGAUAACUGCGGGAAACUGUAGCUAAUACCGGAUACGACCCUCGGCGGCAUCGCCAGGGGGUGGAAAGAAUUUCGGUCAAGGAUGGACUCGCGGCCUAUCAGCUAGUUGGUGAGGUAACGGCUCACCAAGGCGACGACGGGUAGCCGGGCUGAGAGGGUGACCGGCCACACUGGGACUGAGACACGGCCCAGACUACUGCGGGAGGCAGCAGUGGGGAAUAUUGCACAAUGGGCGCAAGCCUGAUGCAGCGACGCCGCGUGAGGGAUGACGGCCUUCGGGUUGUAAACCUCUUUCAGCACCGACGAAGCGCAAGUGACGGUAGGUGCAGAAGAAGGACCGGCCAACUACGUGCCAGCCGCCGCAGUAA
Molecule: ribosomal RNA, 484 nt
Filed under: uncultured bacterium
Lineage: Bacteria
Description: partial 16S ribosomal RNA
Rfam family: Bacterial small subunit ribosomal RNA
Source: RNAcentral